RNAcentral lists this ribosomal RNA (492 nucleotides) under Inocybe sp. RV7/4. RNAcentral's name for it is "partial 16S small subunit ribosomal RNA". It matches the Rfam family "Bacterial small subunit ribosomal RNA", at positions 469 to 926 of the family's 1533-position model. The record is from RNAcentral. Lineage: Eukaryota; Fungi; Basidiomycota; Agaricomycetes; Agaricales; Inocybaceae.
UUGAUAUUACCUUACUAUAAGUGUUGUCUAAAUAACUGGUGCCAGAAGACUCGGUAACACCAGAAACGCGAACGUUAGUCGUCUUAAACAGGCGUAAAGGGUAAGUAGGCUGCUUUAAAAGUUUAUUUUUAAAAUAAAGAUAGAUAUACUUAAAGCUAGAAUCAUAAUUGAGAUAAACCAAAUAAUACUUAAGUGUAAGGGUAAAAUCUAAAAAUACUAAGUAGAAUACUAACGGUGAAAACUUUUUAUCUAGGAGUGAUUGACGCUGAGGUACGAAAGUGAGAACAGGGAAUAGGAUUAGAUACCCAGUUACCUCUCACCGUCAACGAUGAAUGGUAGUUGUUAGUAGUAAGUCUCGUUAGUUUAAUUUAUUAAUAAAACUUAACUAACUCAACUUCAAUUAAAACUAGUGACGAUGUUAACGCGAUAACCAUUCCGCCUUGAGAGUACGGUUGCAAAACUGAAACCAAAAAAAUUAGUCGGUCUCGGAGC